Molecule: long non-coding RNA, 743 nt
Filed under: Homo sapiens (human)
Lineage: Eukaryota; Metazoa; Chordata; Mammalia; Primates; Hominidae
Description: HSALNT0031118
Source: RNAcentral
GCCCAGCAUAAGCUGCCAGUUCAAUGGUUUCUGUCAAUAGCGGUGUUGCUGUGUUAACAUCAAACAAACAACUGCAUUCUGCCGUGUACCCCUCACAGUGCAAGAGGCCACCAUCACCACCAAGUCUUUUGGGGUUAUUUCGUAGACAUUAGGGGCACCCCAGGAGAUGCCUGGGACAGAACACGAUGUAGAAAAUGCUGUGUGGCUAUCCAGGAAUAAAGAGCCUUAGGAGGAGACAGUACCCUGCCUGCCCUGGCUUGCCUGGGGCCUGAGCUUGCUGAGCCAGGCCCUGCAGUGAGCUGGCCCCCCGCAGCAGGAUGUGCAGUGGCAGGACCCGAGCCUGGCGAUGCAGCAGGAGCCUGUGUCUCCAGCUGGAAGUGGAUAGUUCUUUCUUCCUGAUCCCUCCCAGCUUUCUGUCAAGUUCCAGCUCCUCUAGGAAACAUUCCCUGAUUCCUCCUGCUGUCCUCUGGUUUGAUCAGGCGUGGCCUAGGAAGUCCUCCCAUGCUCCCAGGUGAGUUGUAUGUGUGUUACUUCAAGUGCAGGUGGGUCUGGGAGGAGAUUAAGUUCAAGAAACACUAGUCUGAUGAACCCAGGAAGGCAUAUACCAAAGUAACAGCCAUUAAGACACAAAGAAAAGCUUAGGAGCUUAUGAAAGUGCCCAGCAAAGCCCAGGCCAGCCCAGGCCUCACACUCUUCCCUGGAGUGGGGGUAGGGGAUGAAAAUGAUGGCCCUCCCAAUCCCAG